UGUAAUAGCUGUUUAGUACUCCUGUGCUGGUGACAUCGCUGGAGGGCGAGACGACAUUUCUAACAAGCCUCUGCCAUCAUCCUUUAGGGACCGAAGGAGAAGAUUUUGUUUAUUUUCUCAUCAGGGAUUCUUGCUACCAGGAGAACAGGACCUGAUGGAUCAAGACUGGUCUGUUUCCACGUUAUUACGAGAUGCAUUUUAGAGGAUGAAAAGUCAUGCAUCUAUUUUUAAGUGGUUAAACAGAUGAGAAAUUAAUAUGGUAGUCUCUUCCAAGCCAUUAGAAAAUGUUCUCAUCCAAUAAACUGAUUUGUCUGUCUUCAAUGGAUUGUACUACACAGUUGGAAAAGGUUUGUCCCUCUCUCCCAGUGUAAACUGUCUGUGUUCUGAGAAGUUUAUGAUAUCCUGGUCUAACAAGAUCUUGGAUGGGGGUGGACAGUUCCAUCUGGCAGGACUGCCUCCUGGGAAGAUUGGUGGCCCUACCCUUCGGAAUCUACUCUCUCUGGCUUCCCUGAGACCAAGUGCCCUUGACUCAGAGUCAUACCCUGUGUCUUCAAAAGGACCAUCUUGGUUCACAUAAAUAGGGGCUUCCCCCUAAGCAUCUCUCCUCGCCUACUUAUACAACUCCACACUGGUCACUUCAACCGCCAGGCCCUUCUACACUGGAAGGUUCUGGUGCCCCAGAAGACUUCAGUCCAGGACAUGCAGGACAAUGGUGGCCAGUUGGGAAGUGCAGUUUCCACCUACAGCAUGGAUGUGCUCAGGCUGGGCUUCACUGGAUAGUGAUUACAUCAGGUAUGGUGGGGUGCAGAGGUCCUGCAUGCCUCUCACCAUGAAUUAAACAUGCCCUUGGGUCCAAGAACAGAGCCUGUCUAAUUUGCUCUUUUUAGAAUGGGAAUCUGUGCUCUGAGGAUACCUGUACCUCAGUGUGACUGAACUGGCCCUCAAGCUCUUUACCUGAAUCUGACCUUGUUAGUAUCCCCUUCUUCAGCCAGCAAGACCAGCAUCUAAUCACUCAGUGGAGACAGUUGUCCAGAUUUUAUCUCCAACAUCUCCUUUAUGCUCACUGCCCACACCUGUAUAGUCACCAAUUCUGCCCUGAAGAGCUUUCUUUCCAUCCAUAAAUUUCUCAUUUUGGCCGCUGUCAUUGGAGGUUGGGAUGAUACCAACUUCCAAUUGGCCUCGCAUCUAAUUCUUUUUUUUCUUUUUUUCCUUGUCAGCUGGCCAGUACAAGGAUCAGACCCUGGACCUUGGUGUUAUCAGCAAAAUAGUGUAACCAACUAAGCUAACUAGCCAGCCCCUUAUAUUAAUUCUUAACCCUAACCUCUAACACCUAAUAUUUAACCCCCAACCCUGUCCCUAAACACCAUUAUCCUCAACUUUAUCCACUGAGCCUAAGCCAUAAACCAUAAACAAACCCUAUUACCAUAAUCCUUAACUCCUAACAUGUUAUACAUAUUACCUGUCCCUAAACCCUACCACUUUAUUCCAAUCCCAACUCUAACUCCUAAACCCAACUCUUUCACCUAAACUGCAACCUAACCCUAACCUUACACUAACCCUAAA
Long non-coding RNA from Galeopterus variegatus (Sunda flying lemur), 1563 nucleotides. RefSeq lists it as uncharacterized. The transcript is spliced from 3 exons. The record is from RefSeq and is a predicted model, not a curated record. NCBI's taxonomy places the organism in Eukaryota, Metazoa, Chordata, Mammalia, Dermoptera, Cynocephalidae.